GGGCAUGUGGUGUAAUGGGAAACACGUCCGACGAGUGGAGAAUCUCUGUGUGGGUUCGACCCGUAAGCCUGCAUAUCCUUCUGAGAAGCAUGCGCUCGGAAGCCAUGAGUUCGAGUCUCAUCGUGUCCA
RNAcentral lists this transfer RNA (129 nucleotides) under Ampelomyces quisqualis. It matches the Rfam family "tRNA". From Rfam's summary of the family: Transfer RNA (tRNA) molecules are approximately 80 nucleotides in length. Their secondary structure includes four short double-helical elements and three loops (D, anti-codon, and T loops). The record is from Rfam by way of RNAcentral. Lineage: Eukaryota; Fungi; Ascomycota; Dothideomycetes; Pleosporales; Phaeosphaeriaceae.